UACGUAGGGCGCAAGCGUUGUCCGGAAUUAUUGGGCGUAAAGAGCUCGUAGGCGGCUUGUCACGUCGGAUGUGAAAGCCCGAGGCUUAACCUCGGGUCUGCAUUCGAUACGGGCUAGCUAGAGUGUGGUAGGGGAGAUCGGAAUUCCUGGUGUAGCGGUGAAAUGCGCAGAUAUCAGGAGGAACACCGGUGGCGAAGGCGGAUCUCUGGGCCUUACCUGACGCUCAGGCGCGAAAGCUAGGGGAGCGAACAGG
This 253-nucleotide ribosomal RNA is filed under the name uncultured bacterium. RNAcentral describes it as "partial 16S ribosomal RNA". It matches the Rfam family "Bacterial small subunit ribosomal RNA", at positions 524 to 776 of the family's 1533-position model. The record is from RNAcentral.